Long non-coding RNA from Mizuhopecten yessoensis (Yesso scallop), 2034 nucleotides. RefSeq lists it as uncharacterized. NCBI's taxonomy places the organism in Eukaryota, Metazoa, Mollusca, Bivalvia, Pectinida, Pectinidae. The record is from RefSeq and is a predicted model, not a curated record. The transcript is spliced from 2 exons.
ACGACGGCAAUGAACGAUGACUAUUAUAACCGUAGAUGACCGUUGAUGACUCCAGGCAACAGAUGAUUUUCAAAAAAAAGUUCAAUUGUAAAAAAAUGAUAACACCAAUAGAGGAACUCACCUGACCACCAGCUGUCAAAACCUCAUAAUCUUUAAACAAGAGAGAGAGUAAAACAUUUGUUUUAAAAGAUGAAUAUCUGAAGCUUGGAAGCAUUGAAUAUAUUUACAUUUUGUCAAUAUAUAUGGUCUUUCAGCAGAGCUAGAUGUUGAACCAGAUAGCAAUACAAGUUAAAGCUAUGAUUUAUUUGAGGACUUGUGCUGAUGGAAAAACAAAUUUGUAGGACAAUUUGAUAAACCCUUUGACUGUAAAGUAUUUUGAAUAGGAAAUAGUGUCAUGCAGGAAUGCUCAGUUUUGUCAUUAGUGUGAUAUGCCAUUGGAAAUAAUAGCAAUAUAUGUAGUACUGUUCUAUCACAAUCUACUGCAGAUUGUCUUGUUAUCAGAAUAUCUUAAGAAAACAGGUAUAAUGAUGCUAUCUUUCGGGUCAGAUUCACUAAUGAUGACACAACCCAACGUGUACUGAAGCCUGGUUUUCACGUAAUUUUACUAACUUCAAAAACUGCUGGGGGGGGGGGGGGGGGGGGUAAAUGCUCCCUUCAAAAAUAAAUAAUGGAAGCUUGAUAGCAUUGAAAAUAAUUACCUACUUGAUAUAGAGUCUAUCUUUCAGCAGUAUCUGCUUUUGAUUAAGCUUUCUAAAAAGGCUUUUCUGAAUACUGUUGGGAUUUUAUGUACAUUUGACUUAUGUCUUAUAGUCCUUUGAACCAAGAUUAAAAAAAUAACAGGAAAUAGUGUCAUGCAGGAAUUCUAUUGUGAUUAUUAGGGGAAUAUAUCUAGUUCUAUCCAAUCAAAAAUUCACUUCAGAUUUGAAAUGGUAUCAGUUGAAAAGUUGUAUUUUGAGAACAGGUUAAUGAUGUUAUCUUUCGGGUCAGAUUCUCUAAUGAUGACACAACCCAACGUGUACUGAAGCCUGUUUGGACAUAUUUAACAAUUUGUAUGGAAUACAUUGCAAUAUUUGAAAAAAUUGAAAUGCUAACUUUUAAAAAUAUAAAUAAGUAGCUUAAAAAUAUUUACCUUUCCUUAAUCUAGAGUCUAUCUUUCAGCAGAAUCUGUUGUUAAGUAAUAUUUCUAAACAGGUUUAUGCGAGAACUUCUUCUGAAUACUAUCCGACAGCUAUCGUAUACAUUGACUUGUCAGUUUUUUUAGUCCUGAGAACUAGGAAUCAAAACUGAGAUAAAAAGGAUGUAAAUGAAAAAUGGUUUCAAAUUAAGAGAGAUAGAGACUGCAAAGUCUUAUUAACAGGAAAUUGUGACAUACUGGCAUGGUCAUGGGGGAUAAAUCUAGUACUGUCUUGUUAAAAUUUACCAUAGAUUUUAACUGUUAUUAGUAUAGUUUUUGUUAAGAGAACAGGUAUAAUGAUGCUAUCUUUCGGGUCAGAUUCACUAAUGAUGACACAACCCAACGUAAACUGAAGCCUGUUUUUGCAUGAUUUUACAAUUUGAAAAAUCGGAAAUGCUCACUUUAAAGAAAUAAACAUUAGAAGCUAGCAUUGUAAGUAAUAAACUUUACUUGAUCUAGAGUUUAUCUUUCAGCAGAAUCUGUUGUUGAGUAAGAUUUCUAAACAGAUUUAUGUGAGAACUUUUGAAUACUACCAAAUAUGUACAAUUGACUUAUCACUAUCUUAGUCCUGGGAACUAUGAAUUUAAUUAAUUGAGAUAACAAGGAUCUUGAGUUAUCCAUCCUUCAAAAUAUUUAAUAAAGAAAAAGAUUCAAAUGAAGUUUCGACUGCAAAGUAUUUCACAGGAAAAAGUGUUGUGCAGGAAUGUUCAUUAGGGGGGGGGUAUAUCUUGUGUUAUCCAAUCAAAAUUUACUUAGUAUUUGAAAUGUUAUCAGUUAGGUUGUAUUUUGAGAACAGGUUAAUGAUGCAAUCUUUCGGGUCAGAUUCACUAAUGAUGACACAACCCAACGUGUACUGAAGC